This 356-nucleotide ribosomal RNA is filed under the name uncultured bacterium. Its description in RNAcentral is "bacterial SSU rRNA". It matches the Rfam family "Bacterial small subunit ribosomal RNA", at positions 64 to 434 of the family's 1533-position model. The record is from RNAcentral.
GAACGAGAAAGUGGAGCAAUCCAUGAGUAAAGUGGCGACCGGGUGAGUAACACGUGACUAACCUACCUCCGAGUGGGGAAUAACUCCGGGAAACCGGGGCUAAUACCGCAUAACAUCGCAAGAUCAAAGCAGCAAUGCGCUUGGAGAGGGGGUCGCGGCUGAUUAGCUAGUUGGCGGGGUAACGGCCCACCAAGGCGAAGACGGGUAGCUGGUCUGAGAGGAUGAUCAGCCACACUGGAACUGAGACACGGUCCAGACUCCUACGGGAGGCAGCAGUGGGGAAUAUUGGGCAAUGGGCGCAAGCCUGACCCAGCCAUGCCGCGUGAGUGAUGAAGGCCUUCGGGUCGUAAAGCUCU